Drosophila melanogaster (fruit fly) is the source of this 443-nucleotide non-coding RNA. NCBI's taxonomy places the organism in Eukaryota, Metazoa, Arthropoda, Insecta, Diptera, Drosophilidae. The record is from Ensembl.
ACAGUACCGUUAGAAGCGCGCAGCCAGCAGAUUGAGAACUACCAAAAAAAAAAAAAAGUCGAGAGCCUCGAGCGAACGGCAUUCGAAAGAUUCGUUCUCUUUCUGGCCCCCAUUGUCUUAUGUAAUCAAUUACAAGAGGAACGAUAACGAAGAAAGCACGAAGCGGAGUUCUUACUUUCUCCGCAGAAGUGGGCCAACAGCGGGCAGCGACGCCGGCAGCGGCAGGAGCAGCGCGAUUAACCAACCGAAUGGAAAAGAAGGGAACCAAGACUGUCGUGUAAUUAUGAAACUUUCACGCAAGACCCACUCACACUGCUUUAAUCGCAUCGAUAUCAAGACAAAUGUACUGUUCUCACUGCAACUGCUUUUUUGGGACUCGCGGGCCACUGGAAAAAGUUUAAUUGAAAACCUUUAGCAACAGGUUUUAAACUAUUACUCUAAGA